This 106-nucleotide small nucleolar RNA is filed under the name Gossypium arboreum. Its description in RNAcentral is "Plant small nucleolar RNA R71". It matches the Rfam family "Plant small nucleolar RNA R71". From Rfam's summary of the family: R71 is a member of the C/D box family of snoRNAs containing the C (UGAUGA) and D (CUGA) box motifs. Multiple nearly identical copies of this snoRNA have been identified in Arabidopsis, and it is thought to function as a 2'-O-ribose methylation guide for 18S ribosomal RNA. The record is from Rfam by way of RNAcentral. Lineage: Eukaryota; Viridiplantae; Streptophyta; Magnoliopsida; Malvales; Malvaceae.
AACCCAUGGUGGUGACAACUUCUCAAAAGGUCUUUGUAUCUCUCCCAUGCAUCAUAGAGUGUUUCUAAAUCUAUCUGCACAAAAGAAGAUAUAUCAUUAUGUAAUU